This 1431-nucleotide long non-coding RNA is filed under the name Oryctolagus cuniculus (rabbit). RNAcentral's name for it is "lncRNA (ENSOCUG00000036306.1)". Lineage: Eukaryota; Metazoa; Chordata; Mammalia; Lagomorpha; Leporidae. The record is from RNAcentral.
UGACCGACCUUCCUGGCCGGGGACAGAGGCCAAGGGAAUUGUAACCUUACUAAUGGCAUCCCAACAGAGAUAUCACAUGUGCAAAAACAGAAUAGGAGCUCAAGGCUCCUGAUGUUAUUUUUGAACAACUUUCUCUCAAUCAGUUACUUUUUUUUUAGAUUUAUUUAUUUCAAAGUUAGAGUUACACAGAGAGAGGAGAGGUGAGAAAGAGAAAAAGGUCUUCCAUCCACUGGUUGACUCCUCAAAUGGCUGCAAUGGCCAGUGCUGUACCAAUCUGAAGCCAGGAGCUAGGAACUUCUUCCUUGUCUCCCACAUGGGUGCAGGGGCCCAAGGACUUGGGCCAUCUUCUUACUGCCAUAGCAGGCCAUAGCAGAGAGCUGGAUCAGAAGUGGAGCAACCAGGACUUCGACCAGUGCCCACCACUGCAGGUGGUGGCUUUUACCCAUUAGACCACAGUGCUGACCCAACAAUCAGUUAUUUUUAAAGUGCCUUCAUCAGGAUUCCAAGGAUAGCAACUAUUAACUUUUUACAGCAAGCAUCCAAUUACUUUUUGGUAAAGAGUGUCCCUCUUCGGGCCAGCACCGUGGCUCACUUGGCUCAUCCUCUGCCUGCAGCAGUGGCAUCAAAUAUGAGCACCAGGAGCUAGUCCCAGUUGCCUCUCUUCUAGUCCAGCUCUCUGCUGUGGCCAGGGAAGGCAGUGGAGGAUGGCCCAAGUGCUUGGGCCCCUGCACCCACAUGGGAGACUAGGAGGAAGCACCUGGCUCUUGGCUAUGGAUCGGUGCAGUGCCAGCCGUAGUGGCCAUCUGGGGAGUGAACCAAUGGAUGGAAGACAUUUCUCUCUCUCUCACUGUCUAUAACUCUACCUGUGAAAUUAAAAAAAAAGUGUCCCUCUUUCUAAAGGAGAUAAAGCAGCCCAACUUUAUGUUUCCAUUACACCAGGUAUGGAAUUCCCCAUCUUUAUGACUCACCAGGAUCUUGAAGAGAUGGGUGUGCAAGUGAAAGGAGAGACAGGAGAGACAGGACAUGGAAACAGUUCCUCUGCAAAGUGCUGCCAAACUAACCCGGUGGGAUGGAUCACUCUGAAGAAAUCAUUGGAUGAUGCUCUCAGUAGAAGACGUGGACUUAUGCCAGGGAAAAGCAUCAGAGUUUGAGGGUCAUGCAAGUCCAAUCCAAUUUCUACAUAACAAAAUGUUUUUUCUAUUGUGUUUCUUUGAAGUAGAAGUUUUCUAUUUAUUUUUAUUUCUUUUUAUUCACCAUUUUCUACAUCUUGAAAAUUGAUUGAUUCUUCAUUGUUCUAUGUGUUUUUUGAAUUCCUCAUUUUGUUCCUAUGUUAUUAUUGAUAUUGUUGAGUGUUCCUCUGUGUACUUUUCUAGGUUGAACAACAUGCAUACCCAACCUCAGGACACAGAAUAUAUAAGCAAAUGUUGACAG